This 28-nucleotide non-coding RNA is filed under the name Bombyx mori (domestic silkworm). The record is from RNAcentral. Lineage: Eukaryota; Metazoa; Arthropoda; Insecta; Lepidoptera; Bombycidae.
UAAGUGAAUCUACAAUAUCCAACACUUC